CCAGAGGCUGGCCUCAAACUCAAAACAAUUCCCUCUCCUGAGUCUUCCAAGUACUAGGAUUACCGUGUGAGCCACCUAUAUUAUGUCGUGAGUGAACACCAAGCACAGCAGCUAAGCAAGUGUUAUAAAUGAAUGCUAUUUCAUCUUAGAGAACGGUUUUAGGUCCACAGCCAAACUGGAGUAUAGUUCCCCUAUCCCUACCGUAGCGUGGCCUCUACCUAGACUCAGCGUCAGUGGGUUUUGUUUGUUUCUAUUAUUUAGACAGGAUCUCCACGUAUAGCCUAGGCUAGCCUUCAACUUACUCUGUAAUUCAGGCAAGCCUUGCUAUGUAUUAUAAUGCUAAGUGUGGGCCCCCAAGACCUGUCCUCCAGAGACGAGAGAGUCCCUAUGUGACCUUGACAUCCAAGUUAUUUCUGAUUGGUAAAUAAAGAUGCCUACAGCCUAUAGCUGGGCAGAAUUGAGAUAGGUAGGGCUUGAUGUUCCCACCCUCAGGGGAAGUGGAAGAAGAAGGGAAAGGAAGAGAAAGACACUGUGGGUUAGGAGUCAAGGAAACAUGGCCCUGAGGGCUGGCCAAUACGAGUUAAGAGCAGCCCAGAUGACAUAGUAAGUAAUAACUCAGGGUUAUUGAUAGGAAAGUAGAGUCUAAUAGCAUAGAGGGCAGAUAUCUGCCCAGCUCUCGAGCUGUUUAAGGCUUAUUGUAAAUAUAAAAGAUGUGUGUCUUUUACUUGGGAACUGAAUAAUCCAAAGUGGGGUACAAAUCCUGGGUUGGGAUUAAAAAUUUCUACAAAAACAGUCUUCCUGCCUUAGCCUUCCCCAUGCUGAGAUUAACAGGCAUGUAUCACCAUGCCAACAAACAUGUCUUUCUGCUUGCUUGGGUUUUUUGGGGGUGGGAUAGGGGAGUAUUGUUUGCUGUACAGAAAACCAGAUCACUCUUGGUAUUAGACAGUCUUUGGGCUUUAUUGAAAGA
This 967-nucleotide long non-coding RNA is filed under the name Mus musculus (house mouse). RNAcentral describes it as "long non-coding RNA chr14:31444044-31445011". The record is from RNAcentral. Lineage: Eukaryota; Metazoa; Chordata; Mammalia; Rodentia; Muridae.